Long non-coding RNA from Haliotis rufescens (red abalone), 922 nucleotides. RefSeq lists it as uncharacterized. The record is from RefSeq and is a predicted model, not a curated record. The transcript is spliced from 3 exons. NCBI's taxonomy places the organism in Eukaryota, Metazoa, Mollusca, Gastropoda, Lepetellida, Haliotidae.
GAGAGAGCGGCUGGGAGGACUACAUCUGGACUGGUGCUCCGCUCUCGGCUUGUUGUCACGAUCUUCCGAACCAGAAACCAAACUUAGGCACCAGCAUUUCGACUGAGACUGAAGCUUUGCGGCCGAAGUCUCGCAUUUAAGUGACAAAUAGAGUGGGUUGACCGGCAACACAAAGUGGGAAUAAAAGCUGUUAAACGAUGUCAGGUGACGGCGUGCAGUUGUUGCACAAGCGAGGUAACGUUGCGCAGCGGUUGCGCAAGUAAAGUGGAACUGUGCGGCGGUCGCACAAGUGAAGUGACGUGGUGCAGCGGUUGCACGAGAACUUCCACUGUGAGGGAGAUUACAGUCGUUGGGAGGAACGGUGCAGACGUUUGCACAUCCGGAACGGUGCAGACGGUUGCACAUCCGGAACGGUGCAGACGGUUGCACAUCCACGGACCACUCCGGGCUUACAAUGGAGGGGCUUUCGGAGAGACGAGCGGAUGGUUACACCUGGACCCAGUGGUGGAGUGACGUACCAGGAAGUGAUGAACAGAACUAACAAUUAUGACAUUUUAACAUUUUGUGUGGUGCCAAGUUUCAUUGGACCGGGCCUGGUUAGAUUAUGCGGUGGAGAUAUUCCACGAUGCCCUGAAGACCGGACACCACCGGUGUUUCCUGGGGCCAGACACUCGGCUCCCAAUGAUGUACAUCGACGACACUCUCCGGUCCACGGUCAACUUCAUGGAAGUGCCCAAUGAGAAGCUGAAAAACUGAUUCCUGGCCCCAGGUGCUGGAUGACACCAACGCUCGCCGAGACUGGGGAUGGAGCCAUUAGUAUGACCUGGAGUCCAUGUGCCGUAUGAUGUUCGAGAAGCUCAUCCCACAAUACAACCAAGUGGAGAGUGCUAAAUAUACAGAAACUGAGACAGAGACAGUCAAA